CCGAGUGAGGGCCUCCGGGCUCGACCUCCAACCCCAUGUUAUCCGACCCUGUUGCCUCGGGGGCGACCCGGCCCUUUCGGCGCCGGGGUCCCCGGUGGACCACUCAACACUGCAUCUUUGCGUCUGAGUCACAUAUUGAAUCAAUCA
This 147-nucleotide unclassified non-coding RNA is filed under the name uncultured Ascomycota. Its description in RNAcentral is "sequence contains ITS1". Lineage: Eukaryota; Fungi; Ascomycota. The record is from RNAcentral.